CCCGCUCCCUAUGGGAGGUCCAGCCUGCCCAGUGGGCUUACUAAACGGCCGCGGUACCCUAACCGUGCUAAGGUAGCGCAAUCACUUGUCCUCUAAAUAAGGACUAGUAUGAACGGCAUCACGAGGGUUAUCCUGUCUCCCCCCUUUAAUCAGUGAAACUGACCCCCCCGUGAAGAGGCGGGGAUAAAUAUAUAAGACGAGAAGACCCCACGGAGCUUUAAAUACACACCACCUAUCCUUCCUACACCCAUAAAAACGGAUAACCCUUGGCCACUGUUUUAGGUUGGGGCGACCACGGAGUAAAGCUUAACCUCCGAGACGAAUAUUUAAUUCAAGAGCAACAACUCAAAAAAUCAAAACUGACGUAAUUGACCCAAACUCAUUUGAUCAACGAAC
Molecule: ribosomal RNA, 396 nt
Filed under: Synapturanus sp. Neblina
Lineage: Eukaryota; Metazoa; Chordata; Amphibia; Anura; Microhylidae
Description: partial large subunit ribosomal RNA
Rfam family: Bacterial large subunit ribosomal RNA
Source: RNAcentral